Molecule: ribosomal RNA, 549 nt
Filed under: uncultured bacterium
Lineage: Bacteria
Description: partial 16S ribosomal RNA
Rfam family: Bacterial small subunit ribosomal RNA
Source: RNAcentral
UGGGGAAUCUUCCGCAAUGGACGAAAGUCUGACGGAGCAACGCCGCGUGUAUGAUGAAGGUCUUCGGAUUGUAAAGUACUGUCAUUGGGGAAGAACGGUUUUCUUGAAAAGAUUGAGAAGGCAUGACGGUACCCAAGGAGGAAGCCCCGGCUAACUACGUGCCAGCAGCCGCGGUAAUACGUAGGGGGCAAGCGUUGUCCGGAAUUAUUGGGCGUAAAGGGCGCGUAGGCGGGCCUUUAAGUCCGGUGUGAAAGAUCAGGGCUCAACCCUGAGAGUGCAUCGGAAACUGGAGGCCUUGAGGACAGGAGAGGAAAGUGGAAUUCCACGUGUAGCGGUGAAAUGCGUAGAUAUGUGGAGGAACACCAGUGGCGAAGGCGACUUUCUGGACUGUAACUGACGCUGAGGCGCGAAAGCGUGGGGAGCAAACAGGAUUAGAUACCCUGGUAGUCCACGCCCGUAAACGAUGAGUGCUAGGUGUAGAGGGUAUCGACCCCCUUCUGUGCCGCAGUUAACACAAUAAGCACUCCCGCCUGGGGAGUACGGCCGCAA